GGGGUUGUGGCUCAGUGGUAGAGCGCUCGCCUCACAUGUCAGAGACCCUGGGUUUGAUCCUCAGCACCA
RNAcentral lists this transfer RNA (69 nucleotides) under Ictidomys tridecemlineatus (thirteen-lined ground squirrel). Its description in RNAcentral is "Spermophilus tridecemlineatus (thirteen-lined ground squirrel) tRNA". It matches the Rfam family "tRNA". Rfam says of the family: Transfer RNA (tRNA) molecules are approximately 80 nucleotides in length. Lineage: Eukaryota; Metazoa; Chordata; Mammalia; Rodentia; Sciuridae. The record is from Rfam by way of RNAcentral.